UCACAGAUGCCUCAGAGGUGACGAGAGACGAAUAUAUUAUUUUCCCACAGCCAUGUUUUAUAGGAGUUCCACUUGCUUAGCUAAGGGUAACUGUGGUGAGAAUGUUAUCAGUUGAUCUGUAAUGUUAGAUGUCCGUGUGGAAUGUACGACAAACACAAUUUCUCAUGAAUUAUACAUAAUAAUGAAAAUGAUACUUAAUGGAAGGCUGGAAAGAGGGCAGGUAUUUCCAUCACCUAGGGGGGAACGACCUGCAAAUUAACAACAAGACGGUUCAUUGAAGCAGUCCGGAUUGAUCGAGGACGUCACUGCUAUGCGGUUCACUGCGGCUACAACAGACUUUCAGAUUUGCGUGUCAACUACCGGAAGUUAGGCGCAUCACGUGACAUAAACUUCCGCCCGGGACGUUCUGUGUGCGGCGGGGAAGGGAGACGUGCAGUCUCCAAGGAGACCAAUACAAACAGGAAGGAGAGAUGCCUUGGGUGAAAAGAUAUAUGGUCACAUGAUGGAUGGAUUAUAUAAAAACCACGGACACUGUUAUCCUGGAUGAGGGACGUUUAUCUGUUGUAAAAAGUUACCCCAGUGAUCCAGUAUGGACUUUAUAUUUAACCAAUUAAAUGGGAGUUUAUAUUUAUAGGAAAACGUUUAGGUAUAUAUGAUGUAUAGACAGAAUAAUAUAGUGAUAUGUACAUAUAAGAUAUUGUAGGAUGAUUUUUAGAUCAAUUUACAUGUAUUAUAUAUGUUUUUAGGAGUAGUGGAACCUGAUUGGCUGAGGUCGACAUGUGGCACAGUCUGAGGGGUAUAAAGAGACCAGAGGGGGGUCACUUCCACUAUAUACCCUGAGGAAGGAUUUUUAUCCGAAACGCGUUGGUGCUGUCACAGGAGGACCCCGGGCUUGACUACACCACAGUAGUUGGUACUAUUCUUUGGGUAUUGUUUAUUCCAACCCCAUAUUGGCUGGUAAUAUUUCCCAAUUCCAUCUAACGGGUACCAGUGGAAGUGGCCUCGCUAUCUCUGCCAUAGGGUACCUCCUGUGUUUAUUUUUUAUAUUUCUUAUUGUUUU
Pseudophryne corroboree (corroboree frog) is the source of this 1060-nucleotide long non-coding RNA. RefSeq lists it as uncharacterized. The record is from RefSeq and is a predicted model, not a curated record. The transcript has 3 exons. Lineage: Eukaryota; Metazoa; Chordata; Amphibia; Anura; Myobatrachidae.